AAAACCGAGGCUUGGUAAGAUCAAGAAAACUUGCUCAGGCUCACACCACUAAAAGUGGGAGGACCUGGAAUUCGGUCUCGGGUCUGUCUGAUGGCAAACAUGGGCUCUUGCUCAUUUUUGUUAUCCUGGCAAUUAUAAAUUUUGUGCAAAUGGGGGCCAGGGUAAUGAGGAUGACGAUUACUGUACCACUCCGUUAUUCUUCUCUCCUCAUUCCUCUUUCCUGUAACAACAUCUGAUUGUUCCACUCAUCACAUUGCAGCUUGUCACUGGCUUGUCACAGAAGUGAUUGAGAUGCUAGUAAUUCAGCAUUACGACUUUCCGGCUGGGCGAGGUUGGCAAAAGCCUGGGGAGAUGUAUGUUUCUCUGAGAGCAAAUGGUUCUGAGGUUUGGAAAUGGGGACACCCCUCCCACCGUGCCCCAGAAAGAUGCAGUUGCGUGUGGUGAGGACAGCGCUCAGCAAAUCGGGCUGUGCCAAGUGGAAUCUGGGGGCUGCGCGCUGUGAGAACUUGACAUCUUCCGUGGCAGGAUGCCUUGGAAAGGUCAGACGUCCUUUGGGAUGAAACAGUCAUCAGUUUGGAGGAGCUUAGUUGGAUGGAGGUCAAAGAUGGAACUUUUGCAGUGGGGUCUGGAGGAUGCUGGUGGAAUGAGCCUCAUUGUGAUGGGCUCUCCUUUACGGCUGGCUCACUUCCUCACCUUGACUGUAAGCUCUUUGGGGACAAAGUCAU
This is a non-coding RNA of Leptonychotes weddellii (Weddell seal), 725 nucleotides long. Lineage: Eukaryota; Metazoa; Chordata; Mammalia; Carnivora; Phocidae. The record is from RefSeq and is a predicted model, not a curated record.